RNAcentral lists this ribosomal RNA (509 nucleotides) under Taylorilygus apicalis. RNAcentral's name for it is "partial large subunit ribosomal RNA". It matches the Rfam family "Eukaryotic large subunit ribosomal RNA", at positions 679 to 1140 of the family's 3401-position model. The record is from RNAcentral. Lineage: Eukaryota; Metazoa; Arthropoda; Insecta; Hemiptera; Miridae.
CGUGUGCGCGAGUCAUUGGGUGUCAAAACCUAAAGGCGUAAUGAAAGUGAAGGAAACUUUGUUUUCGAGGGAGGAUGGGUUAGGCUCUUGUUUACAAGGCCGGCCUCGCACUCCCGGGGCGUCUCUAUCUCAUUGCGAGAGGAGGCGCACCUAGAGCGUACACGCUGAUACCCGAAAGAUGGUGAACUAUGCCUGGCCAGGACGAAGCCAGGGGAAACCCUGGUGGAGGUCCGCAGCGAUUCUGACGUGCAAAUCGAUCGUCGGAGCUGGGUUUAGGGGCGAAAGACCAAUCGAACCAUCUAGUAGCUGGUUCCCUCUGAAGUUUCCCUCAGGAUAGCUUGCGCUCGGAAACAACGAGUCUCAUCCGGUAGAGCGAAUGAUUAGAGGCCUUGGGGUCGAAACGACCUCAACCUAUUCUCAAACUCCAAAUAGAUGAGAACCCCGGCUUUCUUGAACUUUGUUUAUGAAGCCGGGGGCUCGGAUCAGAGUGCCAAGUGGGCCAAUUUUGG